Molecule: long non-coding RNA, 421 nt
Organism: Puntigrus tetrazona (Sumatra barb)
Lineage: Eukaryota; Metazoa; Chordata; Actinopteri; Cypriniformes; Cyprinidae
Exons: 3
Source: RefSeq, a predicted model, not a curated record
GCCAAAGCAUGCCGUGUUUGACAUCGUGAAGCCGGCAGAUUCCAGAACGUCUGAUUUUAAGUGAGGUUUGUCCUCCAGCUGUUCACUAGGAUCCGGAGGAUGCCACAGGAGUCGGGGUCAGAUGGCCGAAACCCACAAGACAUCUGGGAGACUGCUGAAGGACUCUUGUGCUCGACCGAGAGAGACUCCAGCGGAGAACAGCACGAGCCACAGCAGCACGGCCAUCUUUAACCCGUCUGAACUUCAACAACAACAACAGCAAAUGUCUGCUUACCCAGAAACCAGAUGAGGAUGAAGACGAGCAGAGCGGGAAGGAUGCUGGCAAACAUCAUCCAGAUGGGGAACUGACCAUCAGAGCCCAGAGGAUUGACUAUCCAACCUCUCUUUUCAGGACUGGUCACUGAAAAACCUCGGGGUACGC